This 155-nucleotide ribosomal RNA is filed under the name Acanthotrema alboisidiatum. Its description in RNAcentral is "5.8S ribosomal RNA". It matches the Rfam family "5.8S ribosomal RNA". From Rfam's summary of the family: 5.8S ribosomal RNA (5.8S rRNA) is a component of the large subunit of the eukaryotic ribosome. It is transcribed by RNA polymerase I as part of the 45S precursor that also contains 18S and 28S rRNA. Functionally, it is thought that 5.8S rRNA may be involved in ribosome translocation. Lineage: Eukaryota; Fungi; Ascomycota; Lecanoromycetes; Ostropales; Graphidaceae. The record is from RNAcentral.
AAACUUUUAACAACGGAUCUCUUGGUUCUGGCAUCGAUGAAGAACGCAGCGAAAUGCGAUAAGUAAUGUGAAUUGCAGAAUUCAGUGAAUCAUCGAAUCUUUGAACGCACAUUGCGCCCCCUGGUAUUCCGGGGGGCAUGCCUGUUCGAGCGUCA